This 492-nucleotide ribosomal RNA is filed under the name uncultured bacterium. RNAcentral's name for it is "partial 16S ribosomal RNA". It matches the Rfam family "Bacterial small subunit ribosomal RNA", at positions 29 to 507 of the family's 1533-position model. The record is from RNAcentral.
AGUGAACGCUGGCGGUAUGCCUAACACAUGCAAGUCGAACGGCAGCACAGUAAGAGCUUGCUCUUACGGGUGGCGAGUGGCGGACGGGUGAGGAAUACAUCGGAAUCUACUUUUUCGUGGGGGAUAACGUAGGGAAACUUACGCUAAUACCGCAUACGACCUACGGGUGAAAGCAGGGGAUCUUCGGACCUUGCGCGAUUGAAUGAGCCGAUGUCGGAUUAGCUAGUUGGCGGGGUAAAGGCCCACCAAGGCGACGAUCCGUAGCUGGUCUGAGAGGAUGAUCAGCCACACUGGAACUGAGACACGGUCCAGACUCCUACGGGAGGCAGCAGUGGGGAAUAUUGGACAAUGGGCGAAAGCCUGAUACAGCAAUACCGCGUGGGUGAAGAAGGCCUUCGGGUUGUAAAGCCCUUUUGUUGGGAAAGAAAAGCAGCAGGUUAAUACCCCGCUGUUAUGACGGUACCCAAAGAAUAAGCACCGGCUAACUUCGUG